CCAAAAGCUGGCGACCGGCGCACGGGUGAGUAACACGUAUCCAACCUGCCUCAUACUCGGGGAUAGCCUUUCGAAAGAAAGAUUAAUAUCCGAUAGCAUAUAUUUCCCGCAUGGGUUUUGUAUUAAAGAAAUUCGGUAUGAGAUGGGGAUGCGUUCCAUUAGUUUGUUGGGGGGUAACGGCCCACCAAGACUACGAUGGAUAGGGGUUCUGAGAGGAAGGUCCCCCACAUUGGAACUGAGACACGGUCCAA
This 251-nucleotide ribosomal RNA is filed under the name uncultured bacterium. Its description in RNAcentral is "partial 16S ribosomal RNA". It matches the Rfam family "Bacterial small subunit ribosomal RNA", at positions 80 to 334 of the family's 1533-position model. The record is from RNAcentral.